Molecule: long non-coding RNA, 1408 nt
Organism: Myodes glareolus (Bank vole)
Lineage: Eukaryota; Metazoa; Chordata; Mammalia; Rodentia; Cricetidae
Source: RefSeq, a predicted model, not a curated record
GGCGGACUGCGGGAACCCGGGCUCGCUAGUGGCUCUGGUGGCCCCGCCAGCAGCUCCGCCUGCGGCCAGCACGCUCCCGGCACGAGAGGCUGGCUCCGGCCACUGCUCUUGCUCGGCGUGGCGCCUUUUGGGAUGGAAGAAAACUGACAGACCAAGCUGCCUGUGGACUCAGACAUUCUCUGCUCUGACUCUGAAUGCUAGACAUAAAGGAAGGCAUGUGCCAUCACAUCCAGCAGUAGCUCUGGUUUAAAGCCAUACCUAGAGCCAAAAUGCCUGCUGCUGUUAUGGGCGACGAAAACAGGAGAAUUCUGGGAAGAGGAAAGACUGAGUCUGCAGUUGUCACCCAGAUCAAGAGAAAGCAAGAUGAGACUGCCGCACUGAUAAAAGACACAUGAGGACACACUGCAUCCAAUCAAGUUAACCCCCGGUACAUUACCAGAGGAUCCCUUCUUCAAUGGACUCAGAUCUAUUCCCCCCACUGACAAAGAUCCUUCUCAGCAAAAAUCAGCUACAACACCACAGCCCGACAUUCUCUAUAGCUUCUGAGUUAGAAAUGAUAGUUUCCUGCUGAAAGACUACAUUACCCAGUUUCCCUUGCAGACUAUAGAAAUCAUUUCUGUUCUGCCCAUCCCAUCUUCCUCUGUUGGUAUCUUGGCCACCCAUACACAUGUGUGACAGUAUUUCCUCACUGUGAAUAAACAUGGUCCCACUAAGGUCAGACUAAGUCUCUUAAAAGAUCCAGUAUCUCCACAGCUGCCUAACAUUGGUCAUGAUGUCUCUUAGCAAAAGAAAAGAAACUAGAACAGAAGUUGAUACCAGGGCCUGGGAUAUUCCUGUGACAGGCCUGACCAUGCUGCUUGUUGGAACAAUGCAGACUCUGGGACUUUGAACUAGGAAAGUUGUUGAAUGCUUUAAGCAGCGCUAAAUGGAUCAUCCUAAUGGAAGAGUUGGAAGAAAGCAGUGCUGAGAGCAAUGUAGACUAUGGAGGCCCUGGCUCAAGAGGUUUCUGAGGGGACCAACAUUAGCAACUUGGCUAGGGACUAUUCUUGUAAAACAUGGCUUCAUUUUGCCAUUGUCUUAAGACUGCUGGAGGCUAAAUUGAAGAGUUUGAUUAAUGGCAGUGGCAGAGAUUUCAAGACAGCUUAGUACUGGCUAUGUCACAUGGUUAUUAGUGAUGAUUAUGCAGAUCUACAAUGAGAAAGAGAAAAUGGGACAAAAAAUGUACAGUUUGAGGAGAAAAAAAACAUGAAAUUUUAAUGUUGGAGUCAAAUCCUGUGCACAAAGAGAUAUGAAAUUUAAGGAAGGGUUUAAGGAGAAAUGGAAUAAAGAAGUGGUGCUCUGUGGUAGUCUGAAUGUAAUUGGCCUCCAUAAUCUCAUAGGGAGUGGCACAAUUAGGAGGUGUGGCUUU